RNAcentral lists this ribosomal RNA (301 nucleotides) under Ice core clone 105-11. Its description in RNAcentral is "bacterial SSU rRNA". It matches the Rfam family "Eukaryotic small subunit ribosomal RNA", at positions 601 to 907 of the family's 1831-position model. The record is from RNAcentral.
AUAUUAAAGUUGUUGCCGUUAAAAAGCUCGUAGUCGAACUUCGGCCUCUGCCGCCCGGUCCGCCUCACCGCGAGUACUGGUUCGGCCGGGCCUUUCCUUCUGGGGAUCCCCAUGCCCUUCACUGGGUGUGGCGGGGAACCAGGACUUUUACUUUGAAUAAAUCAGAGUGCUCAAAGCAGGCAUUUGCUCGAAUGAUCUAGCAUGGAAUAAUAGAAUAGGACGUGCGGUUCUAUUUUGUUGGUUUCUAGGACCGCUGUAAUGAUUAAUAGGGACAGUCGGGGGCAUCAGUAUUCAAUUGUCA